CACCUGCCUUCCCUCCCUCACGAUCCUUUUUUUCGCCCAGGUCACAAGAAAAGCAAAAAAUACCCGAGACCAUCUUGGUCCCUUCCCUUCCUCGCCUCUGUGAUUCCACACGACUGAAGCAGAGGA
This 126-nucleotide non-coding RNA is filed under the name Chromera velia. The record is from RNAcentral. Lineage: Eukaryota; Chromeraceae.